GAACGGUCUAAAUUUAUUUUCUUUUUAAACGCGAUCGGACGGUCAAGAUCAAAUAUGAUGAAUGGUUUAAAUUUAAGAGAGAUGGAUAUAAAUAUCUCGCAUCACACCGAACCCAAACCCUAGCCGCAAGCCUCCCACUGGAUAAGAAGAGCCAGUCGCCGAAGAAAUGAGCCAACCACCACCCGCCGCCGUGCCAGAGCCCCCUCCGACCACCAAAAAAGGU
RNAcentral lists this long non-coding RNA (223 nucleotides) under Carica papaya (papaya). Its description in RNAcentral is "long non-coding RNA (CPAP_LNC011326)". Lineage: Eukaryota; Viridiplantae; Streptophyta; Magnoliopsida; Brassicales; Caricaceae. The record is from RNAcentral.